GGGGUUCCUGGGGAUGGGAUUUG
Molecule: microRNA, 23 nt
Filed under: Pteropus alecto (black flying fox)
Lineage: Eukaryota; Metazoa; Chordata; Mammalia; Chiroptera; Pteropodidae
Description: pal-miR-23a-5p
Gene: pal-miR-23a-5p
Source: miRBase by way of RNAcentral